Molecule: ribosomal RNA, 264 nt
Filed under: uncultured bacterium
Lineage: Bacteria
Description: partial small subunit ribosomal RNA
Rfam family: Bacterial small subunit ribosomal RNA
Source: RNAcentral
AGAUUGAACGCUGGCGGCAUGCCUAACACAUGCAAGUCGAACGGCAGCACAGCAGUAGCAAUACUGUGGGUGGCGAGUGGCGGACGGGUGAGUAAUGCAUCGGGACCUACCUGAACGUGGGGGAUAACGUAGGGAAACUUACGCUAAUACCGCAUACGUCCUACGGGAGAAAGCGGGGACCUUCGGGCCUCGCGCGGUCAGACGGACCGAUGUUCGAUUAGCUAGUUGGUAAGGUAACGGCUUACCAAGGCGACGAUCGAUAGC